AUUGAACGCUGACGGCAGGCCUAACACAUGCAAGUCGAACGAGUGGCGGACGGGUGAGUAAUGUCUAGGAAACUGCCUGAUGGAGGGGGGUCACUAUUGGAAACGGUAGCUAAUCCCGAAAACAUUCAAAUGUCCCCAAAGGGGUUUCGCUUGUUGGUGGGGUAACGGCGCACCAAGGCGACGCUCCCUAGCUGGUCUGAGAGGAUGACCAGCCACACUGGAACUGAGACACGGUCCAGACUCCUACGGGAGGCAGCAGUGGGGAAUAUUGCACAAUGGGCGCAAGCCUGAUGCAGCCAUGCCGCGUGUAUGAAGAAGGCCUUCGGGUUGUAAAGUACUUUCAGCGGGGAGGCGUUACCCGCAGAAGAAGCACCGGCUAACUCCGUGCCAGCAGCCGCGGUAAUUC
This 406-nucleotide ribosomal RNA is filed under the name uncultured bacterium. RNAcentral describes it as "partial 16S ribosomal RNA". It matches the Rfam family "Bacterial small subunit ribosomal RNA", at positions 30 to 526 of the family's 1533-position model. The record is from RNAcentral.